GACGUAGGGCGCGAGCGUUGUCCGGAUUUAUUGGGCGUAAAGAGCUCGUAGGCGGUUUGUCGCGUCGUCCGUGAAAACUCACAGCUUAACUGUGAGCUUGCGGUCGAUACGGGCAGGCUAGAGUUCGGUAGGGGGAGACUGGAAUUCCUGGUGUAGCGGUGAAAUGCGCAGAUAUCAGGAGGAACACCGGUGGCGAAGGCGGGUCUCUGGGCCGAUACUGACGCUGGAGGAACGAAAGCUAGGGGAGCAAACAGG
Molecule: ribosomal RNA, 255 nt
Filed under: uncultured bacterium
Lineage: Bacteria
Description: partial 16S ribosomal RNA
Rfam family: Bacterial small subunit ribosomal RNA
Source: RNAcentral